This 507-nucleotide ribosomal RNA is filed under the name uncultured bacterium. Its description in RNAcentral is "bacterial SSU rRNA". It matches the Rfam family "Bacterial small subunit ribosomal RNA", at positions 19 to 518 of the family's 1533-position model. The record is from RNAcentral.
CUGGCUCAGGAUGAACGCUAGCGACAGGCUAACACAUGCAAGUCGAGGGGCAGCAUAAAAGUAGCAAUACUUGGUGGCGACCGGCGCACGGGUGAGUAACGCGUAUGCAACCUACCUAUCAGGAGGGGAAUAACCCGGCGAAAGUCGGACUAAUACCGCAUAAAACAGGGGCACCGCAUGGUGAUAUUUGUUAAAGAAAUUCGCUGAUAGAUGGGCAUGCGUUCCAUUAGGUAGUUGGUGAGGUAACGGCUCACCAAGCCGACGAUGGAUAGGGGAACUGAGAGGUUGGUCCCCCACACUGGUACUGAGACACGGACCAGACUCCUACGGGAGGCAACAGUGAGGAAUAUUGGUCAAUGGGCGGGAGCCUGAACCAGCCAAGUCGCCGUGAAGGAAGAAGGAUCUAUGGUUCGUAAACUUCUUUUGCAGGGGAAUAAAGUGCAGGACGUGUCCUGUUUUGUAUGUACCCUGAGAAUAAGGAUCGGCUAACUCCGUGCCAGCCGCCGC